AAGCUAAGGGGUGUUAUCAUAUCGGAUUGCAAACCCGAGGACGCGACUUUAUCUUCGCCUUAGCUUC
RNAcentral lists this transfer RNA (67 nucleotides) under Lepidosiren paradoxa (South American lungfish). RNAcentral describes it as "tRNA-Cys". The record is from RNAcentral. Lineage: Eukaryota; Metazoa; Chordata; Ceratodontiformes; Lepidosirenidae.